Molecule: long non-coding RNA, 1408 nt
Organism: Diorhabda carinulata
Lineage: Eukaryota; Metazoa; Arthropoda; Insecta; Coleoptera; Chrysomelidae
Exons: 2
Source: RefSeq, a predicted model, not a curated record
AAAUAAUCAAAAUUUUCUGACGUUACAUUCAAGAUAUUUGUAAAAAUUGAUAUCAAAGUCGCAGCGUUGCCGAUUUUCUCGGAAUUUUAUCCCCAAACAUCGACUCGAUAUUCACCCGCGUUGUGUUACAAACUAGAGGUGGGCACUAACAAACAUUUCGUUGUCAAACGUUACAGUUACUUUCAUUUUAUUAAUAUUUUAUAAUAAUUCUUCGAUUUUACACUAUUUGAGUGACAUAUUUCUAUUUAAUUACGAAAUAAUCGAAAUUUUCUGACGUAACAUUCGAUAUAUUUGUAAAAAUUGAUAUCAAAGUCGCAGCGUUGCCGAUUUUCUUGGAAUUUUAUCCCCAAACAUCGACUCGAUAUUCUCCCGCGUUGUGUUACAAACUAGAGGUGGGCACUAACAAACAUUUCGUUGUCAAACGUUACAGUUACUUUCAUUUUAUUAACAUUUUAUAAUAAUUCUUCGAUUUUACACUAUUUGAGUGACAUAUUUCUAUUUAAUUACGAAAUAAUCAAAAUUUUCUGACGUUACAUUCAAGAUAUUUGUAAAAAUUGAUAUCAAAGUCGCAGCGUUGCCGAUUUUCUCGGAAUUUUAUCCCCAAACAUCGACUCGAUAUUCACCCGCGUUGUGUUACAAACUAGAGGUGGGCACUAACAAACAUUUCGUUGUCAAACGUUACAGUUACUUUCAUUUUAUUAAUAUUUUAUAAUAAUUCUUCGAUUUUACACUAUUUGAGUGACAUAUUUCUAUUUAAUUACGAAAUAAUCGAAAUUUUCUGACGUAACAUUCAAGAUAUUUGUAAAAAUUGAUAUCAAAGUCGCAGCGUUGCCGAUUUUCUCGGAAUUUUAUCCCCAAACAUCGACUCGAUAUUCACCCGCGUUGUGUUACAAACUAGAGGUGGGCACUAAUGAACAUAUGGUAAACAGUUACCAAUACUUUCCCGCCAUUUUGUAAAUUCAGACUUUUCUCGUUUCGGAAAGUAGAGGUGGGUGCGUCAGUUAUAUUUAAACUUGUAAUAAAUUCGUAGGUCAUUUAAAAACAUGCAACUACAUCAAUCUAGCUAAUAAUUCAAGUUUUUCUUUUCGGACAACAGCUCUGUUGGAACAUUGACAAAAAAAUACUGACAGUCUUACAUAAAAUUGAAGUUUACACCCACGUAUUCGAGAUAUUUUUAAAAUUAUUAAUAAAACGGUUUUGAAGUCGCGUAAUUGGGAAAAAAAGUGUUUUAAGAAAAUUACACGCGAAAAAAAAAACAAUUACUUCAAAUUAAACGAGUUCAAGAAAAUGGGGGUGAAGAAAAACUAAUUAAAUGAAGCAGACCGACGGCAGAAGAAGCAUUGAGUCAUCAAUGGUUAAAUAAGGAUACCGUACAUUCGGAAUUGCAAAUUGAUAAAUCGAAAUUAAA